This 2730-nucleotide unclassified non-coding RNA is filed under the name Camponotus floridanus (Florida carpenter ant). Its description in RNAcentral is "transportin-1, transcript variant X3". Lineage: Eukaryota; Metazoa; Arthropoda; Insecta; Hymenoptera; Formicidae. The record is from RNAcentral.
GCUUCCGUUUAUCUGCGAGGUCAGAGAAGGCAGGCUGCGCGCGUUACGGUGGUGCUGUUGAAAAACACGAUGAAAAUGGCGUGGCAACCGCAGGAGGAAGGACUCAGGCAAAUCCUGACGCUGCUCAAGGAGUCGCAGAGCCCGGACACGGCGACCCAGCGAGCCGUACAACAAAAAUUGGAAGAGUUGAACAAGUUCCCAGAUUUCAACAACUAUCUGAUUUUUGUCCUAACAAAACUUACAUCAGAAGACGAACCUACUAGAUCCCUGAGUGGACUGAUACUCAAGAAUAAUGUAAAGACUUACUUUCAUAAAUUUCUACCAGAAGUCAUAAUUUUCAUAAAGCAAGAAUGUCUAUCAGCUGUCGGAGACCCAUCGCCGCUGAUUCGUGCGACCGUCGGUAUUUUGAUCACUACUGUCGCAUCAAAAGGUGAAUUAACAACUUGGCCGGAAUUAUUGCCAGCAUUGUGUCAAAUGUUGGAUUCUCAAGAUUACAAUGUUUGCGAAGGAGCAUUUGGUGCUCUACAGAAGAUUUGCGAAGAUUCAGCAGAGAUAUUAGAUUCAGAUGCUCUAAAUCGCCCUUUGAACAUUCUGAUUCCAAAGUUCCUUCAUUUCUUUAGACAUUCGAGUCCCAAGAUCAGAUCUCACGCAAUAGCGUGCGUCAAUCAAUUUAUUAUUCAACGUACACAAGCGCUUAUGAUACAUAUAGAUAGUUUUUUGGAGAACCUCUUCCAUUUGGCUUCAGAUGAUGAUUCUGAAGUCCGAAAAAAUGUCUGCAGGGCACUAGUGAUGUUACUUGAAGUACGAAUGGAUAGAUUAAUACCACACAUACACAACAUAAUAGAAUAUAUGUUAAUGAGAACUCAAGAUGUUGAUGAGGGAGUGGCAUUGGAAGCUUGCGAGUUUUGGCUAUCAUUAGCGGAACAACAAAUUUGCAAAGAAGCGCUUACACCGCAUCUAACUCGAUUAGUACCUAUCCUAGUGAGAGGUAUGAAAUAUUCAGAAAUUGACAUAAUCCUCCUUAAAGGAGAUGUGGAGGAGGAUGAAAUGAUACCAGACAGGGAAGAAGAUAUCCGACCGCGAUUUCAUAAAUCAAAGACGCACCAUUCGCAUCAUGCCAAUGGUAUGGGCAGAAUGGCACAGCACACUGACGAGAAUGGCGGUGUGAAUGGCGACGACGAGGAUUUGGACGUUGAGGACGGAUGUGAUGACGAUUCGACUUUGAGCGACUGGAACUUGAGGAAAUGCUCCGCUGCUGCACUAGAUAUGCUAGCUAAUGUUUUUCGAGAAGAUCUUUUACCAGUUUUGGUACCAAUUCUGAAAGAGACCCUCUUCCAUCAAUCCUGGGAAAUUAAGGAAUCUGGUAUCCUCGCAUUGGGAGCUAUCGCCGAAGGUUGCAUGAACGGCAUGAUUCCGCAUUUAUCGGAGCUUAUUCCUUAUUUGAUCAGUUGUUUGAGUGACAAGAAGGCUCUUGUGCGUGCCAUAACUUGCUGGACAUUGAGUCGUUAUGCGCAUUGGGUUUGUGCACAGCCACAUGAGACACAUUUGAAACCCCUGAUGACAGAAUUGCUCAAACGAGUGCUCGACAGCAACAAACGCGUUCAAGAGGCGGCAUGCUCCGCCUUCGCGACCUUGGAAGAAGAAGCAUGCACUGAAUUGGUUCCUUAUCUCGGAUUUAUUCUUGAAACACUUGUCUUUGCAUUCAGUAAAUAUCAACAUAAAAAUCUUUUAAUAUUAUACGAUGCGAUCGGCACUCUUGCCGAUUCUGUGGGUCAUCAUUUGAACAGACCGGAUUAUAUCAAUCUUUUGAUGCCACCUCUCAUUAAUAAAUGGAAUGUAUUGAAGGACGAGGAUAAAGAUCUAUUUCCAUUACUGGAAUGUCUUUCAUCAGUAGCUACUGCAUUACGUUCAGGUUUCUUACCGUAUUGUGAGCCUGUCUACAGACGAUGCGUGUCACUUGUCGAACAGACGUUGAAUCAACAUAUAGCGAGUACACAAAGUCCAGAGCAAUUUGAGGCGCCUGAUAAAGACUUUAUGAUAGUCGCAUUAGAUCUCCUUAGCGGAUUAGCCGAAGGAUUGGAUGGUCACAUGGAACGUCUGGUAGUGAACAGUAACGUUAUGCAACUGUUAUAUCAGUGUAUGCAAGAUACUAUGCCUGAAGUCAGACAGAGCAGUUUCGCAUUAUUAGGAGAUCUCACAAAAGCUUGCUUCCAACAUGUGCUCCCCUGUAUACCAGAGUUUAUGCCUAUACUUGGACAAAACUUGCACCCACAAUUCAUAUCGGUGUGCAAUAAUGCGACAUGGGCGAUUGGUGAGAUUUCGAUAAAACUUGGGCCUGACACAAGUACAUAUAUCCCAUUAAUUUUGACACAGCUUAUCGAAAUAAUUAAUCGACCAGAUACACCAAAAACACUGUUGGAAAAUACCGGUGCACUUCUUUGCGAAGCAUAAGGGAUAACGAAGAGAAGGACUCUGCCUUCAGGGGUAUGUGUCAAAUGAUUACUGUCAAUCCAGCCGGUGUUGUUCCGGACUUCAUCUUCUUUUGCGACGCCGUAGCGUCUUGGUCAGCACCAAAGGAGGAUUUAAAGGAGAUGUUUCAGAAGAUACUGUUCACGUUUAAAAAUCAAGUGGGCGAGGAAAAUUGGAAGCGAUUUUCUGAUCAGUUUCCGCCACAGCUUAGUGAGCGGCUCCAUAACAUGUACGGCGUCUGAACAGCUCCAUCUAAAAGCG